GAUGAACGCUGGCGGCGUGCCUAAUACAUGCGAGUCGAGCGAACAGACGAGGAGCUUGCUCCUCUGACGUUAGCGGCGGACGGGUGAGUAACACGUGGAUAACCUACCUAUAAGACUGGGAUAACUUCGGGAAGCCGGAGCUAAUACCGGAUAAUAUAUUGAACCGCAUGGUUCAAUAGUGAAAGACGGUUUUGCUGUCACUUAUAGAUGGAUCCGCGCCGCAUUAGCUAGUUGGUAAGGUAACGGCUUACCAAGGCGACGAUGCGUAGCCGACCUGAGAGGGUGAUCGGCCACACUGGAACUGAGACACGGUCCAGACUCCUACGGGAGGCAGCAGUAGGGAAUCUUCCGCAAUGGGCGAAGGCCUGACGGAGCAACGCCGCGUGAGUGAUGAAGGUCUUCGGAUCGUAAAACUCUGUUAUUAGGGAAGAACAAAUGUGUAAGUAACUAUGCACGUCUUGACGGUACCUAAUCAGAAAGCCACGGCUAACUACGUG
RNAcentral lists this ribosomal RNA (497 nucleotides) under uncultured bacterium. Its description in RNAcentral is "partial 16S ribosomal RNA". It matches the Rfam family "Bacterial small subunit ribosomal RNA", at positions 28 to 507 of the family's 1533-position model. The record is from RNAcentral.